This 252-nucleotide ribosomal RNA is filed under the name uncultured bacterium. Its description in RNAcentral is "partial 16S ribosomal RNA". It matches the Rfam family "Bacterial small subunit ribosomal RNA", at positions 524 to 776 of the family's 1533-position model. The record is from RNAcentral.
UACGUAGGGUGCAAGCGUUGUCCGGAAUUACUGGGCGUAAAGAGCGUGUAGGCGGUUUGGUAGGUCCGCUGUGAAAACUCGAGCUCAACCUCGAGACGCCGGUGGAAACCAUCAGACUAGAGUCCGGAAGAGGAGAGUGGAAUUCCUGGUGUAGCGGUGAAAUGCGCAGAUAUCAGGAAGAACACCCGUGGCUAAGGCGGCUCUCUAGUACGGUACUGACGCUGAGACGCGAAAGCGUGGGGAGCGAACAGG